AAUCAACGCUGGCGGCGUGCCUCAGACAUGCAAGUCGAACGCGAAAGGUUCCUUCGGGAGCCGAGUAGAGUGGCGCUCGGGUGAGUAACACGUAGGUAAUUUGCCUUUGGGUGGGGAAUAACAAUCGGAAACGGUUGCUAAUACCGCAUAAUGCAGCGGCUCGACAUCGAGACAGUUGUUAAAGCGGGGGAUCCUUCGGGGACCUCGCGCCUAAAGAGAAGCCUGCGGCGGAUUAGCAGUUGGUGAGGUAAUGGCUCACCAAGGCGACGAUCCGUAACCGGCCUGAGAGGGCGGACGGUCACACUGACACUUAAAUACGGGUCAGACUCCUACGGGAGGCAGCAGUCGGGAAUUUGGGCAAUGGGCGAAAGCCUGACCCAGCAACGCCGCGUGAA
This 395-nucleotide ribosomal RNA is filed under the name uncultured bacterium. RNAcentral describes it as "bacterial SSU rRNA". It matches the Rfam family "Bacterial small subunit ribosomal RNA", at positions 32 to 405 of the family's 1533-position model. The record is from RNAcentral.